GACGAACGCUGGCGGCGUGCUUAACACAUGCAAGUCGAACGGAAAGGCCCUGCUUUUGUGGGGUGCUCGAGUGGCGAACGGGUGAGUAACACGUGAGUAACCUGCCCUUGACUUUGGGAUAACUUCAGGAAACUGGGGCUAAUACCGGAUAGGAGCUCCUGCUGCAUGGUGGGGGUUGGAAAGUUUCGGCGGUUGGGGAUGGACUCGCGGCUUAUCAGCUUGUUGGUGGGGUAGUGGCUUACCAAGGCUUUGACGGGUAGCCGGCCUGAGAGGGUGACCGGCCACAUUGGGACUGAGGUAGGGCCCAGACUCCUACGGGAGGCAGCAGUGGGGAAUAUUGCACAAUGGGCGGAAGCCUGAUGCAGCAACGCCGCGUGCGGGAUGACGGCCUUCGGGUUGUAAACCGCUUUCGCCUGUGACGAAGCGUGAGUGACGGUAAUGAGUAAAGAAGCACCGGCUAACUACGUG
RNAcentral lists this ribosomal RNA (468 nucleotides) under uncultured bacterium. RNAcentral describes it as "partial 16S ribosomal RNA". It matches the Rfam family "Bacterial small subunit ribosomal RNA", at positions 28 to 507 of the family's 1533-position model. The record is from RNAcentral.